This 122-nucleotide small RNA is filed under the name Mycolicibacterium chubuense NBB4. Its description in RNAcentral is "Mycobacterium chubuense NBB4 Actinobacteria sRNA Ms_IGR-7". It matches the Rfam family "Actinobacteria sRNA Ms_IGR-7". Lineage: Bacteria; Bacillati; Actinomycetota; Actinomycetes; Mycobacteriales; Mycobacteriaceae. The record is from Rfam by way of RNAcentral.
CGGAAGUGCCUUUCGUGUCGCUGGCCAGAUUGCUGUGUGUCGGAACUCCAAUCAUCCCAGCUCAAGAGGCAGUUCCUCAUAUCAACACCCCGAACCCCACGCAAUUCGAUCGGUGGAUCGAG